Molecule: long non-coding RNA, 332 nt
Filed under: Helianthus annuus (common sunflower)
Lineage: Eukaryota; Viridiplantae; Streptophyta; Magnoliopsida; Asterales; Asteraceae
Description: sRNA HanXRQr2_Chr11g0496621
Source: RNAcentral
AUGAAAUUAUGUAUUGGUAUAGGCGUGAAGGAAGAAGGCUCAAGUGCUAAGAAAACGGAAGGUUCACAAGAUCGAGGUAAAUCCUCGACUUAGGCGAUUGGACGACUUGGAACGUGCACACAUGGUUUACGCCCGCUUCUCGCUUCCGUUGUUAAGCCCCUUUUUGGAAUGGUUUAAGACUUGGUCUUAUGUAUUUAAGUCUAGUUAGUAUGUUGUCAUCCUUGUCGUAGGGUAAAAAUUUGGUAGAUGGAAAUCAUGUCGUGACCAAUGUGAACUUGUUUGUUUGUUUUGGGUUUUUGUCAGAAAUGUUAAAUGUUUAAGUUUGGUUUGUA